RNAcentral lists this ribosomal RNA (239 nucleotides) under uncultured bacterium KC203. RNAcentral's name for it is "partial 16S rRNA". It matches the Rfam family "Bacterial small subunit ribosomal RNA", at positions 228 to 482 of the family's 1533-position model. The record is from RNAcentral. Lineage: Bacteria; Bacillati; Cyanobacteriota; Cyanophyceae; Chroococcales; Prochloraceae.
AGCUCGCGUCUGAUUAGCUAGUUGGUGAGGUAAUGGCUCACCAAGGCUUCGAUCAGUAGCUGGUCUGAGAGGAUGAUCAGCCUCACUGGGACUGAGACACGGCCCAGACUCCUACGGGAGGCAGCAGUGGGGAAUUUUCCGCAAUGGGCGAAAGCCUGACGGAGCAACGCCGUGUGAGGGACGAAGGCCUCUGGGCUGUAAACCUCUUUUCUCAAGGAAGAAGAUAUGACGGUACUUGA